This 1386-nucleotide ribosomal RNA is filed under the name Brunneifusus ternatanus. RNAcentral describes it as "16S ribosomal RNA". It matches the Rfam family "Bacterial large subunit ribosomal RNA", at positions 383 to 2761 of the family's 2925-position model. Lineage: Eukaryota; Metazoa; Mollusca; Gastropoda; Neogastropoda; Melongenidae. The record is from RNAcentral.
AAUGUAGAAUUUCGACAUAGAAUUAUUUUUUAUUAUUUGUUAGAAAAACAUUAUAACAAUUAGUAAAGGAGAUUAAAAAUUAUUAUAUAUGUUUGUAAAUAAGUACUGUGAAGGAAAAUAUUGACUUAUAAUUUAAAAUAAGAAGGACUUAAGUUCCGUACCUUUUGCAUCAUGGUUUAGCUAGAUCUCAUUUUAUUUAAAAUUUCUCGAAAUCUAAUGAGCUAUUUUUACUCGACAUCUUAGAGUUUAAUGGAACUAAUUGUAGCAAAAAUUUUUCCAGAAGUAAAGAUAGAAAUGAAAUUUUAUUCGUAUUGGAUGAUAGCUAGUUCUCUUUAAGGGUAUAUAAGUACUUCAAAUUAAUGUUAUAAGUGAUUGUAAGCACACAAUAAACUUAAUUUGGUUGAAUUUUUGAGGAUAAGCUCGAAAAUAUAAAAAUAUCUAAAAUGCACUUAAUUUCUUUAUUAAAUUUAAGCUUGAAAAUAGCUAUAAUAAUUGAUUUUGUUAUAAUUUCAUUGAGAAUUUAAUAGAAAAGAAUUAAUUUGCUUAAAUAAAUCAAGAGAGUGAAAUUUCUAAUUUAAGAAAAUUUGAACUUAUGCUAAAAUUAGUAUUUUUUAGACUAUAAAAUUUUAAAAUUUCAUGUUUUAAAAUUAAUCUUUCUAUUUUUUGGAAUAAACCAUAAAAAGGAACUCGGCAAAUCCAUAUUCUGCCUGUUUAACAAAAACAUGGCUCCUUGUAAAGAAAAUAAAUAAGGAGUCGGACCUGCCCAGUGAAGUUUUUUAACGGCCGCGGUACUCUGACCGUGCAAAGGUAGCACAAUCAUUUGCCUUAUAAUUGAAGGCUAGUAUGAAUGGUUUGACAAGAAUAUAGCUGUCUCUUUAUGGCUAUUUAGAAUUUUAUUUAUAGGUGAAGAAGCCUAUAUUUCAUUAAUAGACGAGAAGACCCUAUCGAGCUUCAAAUAAAUUAAUAGAUAUAAAUCAAUUAAAUAAUAACUAAAAUAAAAACUAUUAAAUAUUCUUAGUUAGUUGGGGCGACUGAGGAACAAUAAAAGCUUCCUUUAAGCAUUUUAAUAAACUAUACUAGUUUUAAUCCAAAAACUUUUUGAUCAAAGAAAUUAGCUACCGUAGGGAUAACAGCAUAAUCCCUUUUGAGAGUUCCUAUCGAAAAGGGGGUUUGUGACCUCGAUGUUGGACUAGAAUAUCCCAAAGAUGCAGCAGUCUUUAAAGGUUGGUCUGUUCGACCAUUAAAAUUCUACGUGAUCUGAGUUCAGACCGGCGUGAGCUAGGUCAGUUUCUAUCUUUAAUUUAAAAACGUAAACUCAGUACGAAAGGACCAGUUUGCUGUAUUAAUUUUACUUAUGUAGAUAAUAUAUAAUUCUAGUAUAUAUUU